Long non-coding RNA from Ictalurus punctatus (channel catfish), 735 nucleotides. The record is from Ensembl. NCBI's taxonomy places the organism in Eukaryota, Metazoa, Chordata, Actinopteri, Siluriformes, Ictaluridae.
GUAGUAGUAGUAGUAGUAGUAGUAGUAGAAGGAGGAGGAGGAGGAGAAGAUAUAUGAGUAUGAGUAUGAGUAGUAGUAGUAGUAGUAGUAGUAGUAGUAGAAGGAGGAGGAGGAGGAGCAGGAGGAGUAAGAGUAGUAGUAGUAGUAGUAGUAGUAGAAGGAGGAGGAGGAGGAGCAGGAGGAGGUGUAUGAGUAUUAGUAGUAAUGGAGGUAAAAGUAGUAUGCAGCAAACAAUCUUGACUGCACUUGGUCUAAUUCUGAAGAUGAAAUCAAAAUGAAUACUGGACAUCUUAAUUGGGAACAAUUAAACACUGAUGAUUGUUUUAGUGUGUGUUUCGCCUGCCAGUGAAGUUCAGAGCUGGAGGUUGUUUGAGUUGUUUGAGACAAGAUUCCGUCUAAUCCAUUUAAUGCAGUGUCUUAAUUAGGUUGACAGACGUUUCUACUCUGCUUGAUGUUUAUUUUCAUUUUCUAUUCAUCCUCUUGUCUGUGUUGUUGAUUGUCAUCUCCUUUCAGCAUCCCUUAGGCCACCUAUGACAGUCAGAAUGGAACGGAACGAUUGAUUUGUCUCAGAAUAAAGUGGCAGAAAAACUGCAUCCAGAACCAGCAGUUCUACAAAUGUCACAUUUGACAUAUUAGUGAUGCUGAAGAUAGAUAAAGGGAAUGCACUGCUGUAAACGGAGAAUGUACCAGUAAUACGAGGACAAGCUGUGUUUUGUCUUAGCUUAAGACAAAAAA